AGAGUUUGAUCCUGGCUCAGAGCGAACGCUGGCGGCGUACUUAACACAUGCAAGUCGAACGGGGAUCAACGGUGUAGCAAUACAUCGGUGGUCCUAGUGGCGCACGGGUGAGUAACACGUGGGUAACCUGCCCUUGAGUUCGGGAUACCCCCUCGAAAGGGGGGCUAAUACCGGAUACGUUCCUCGGAUCGACAGGUCUGGGGAGGAAAGGUGGCGCAAGCUGCCGCUCUUGGAGGGGCUCGCGGCCUAUCAGCUAGUUGGCGGGGUAAUGGCCCACCAAGGCUAUGACGGGUAGCUGGUCUGAGAGGACGACCAGCCACACGGGGACUGAGACACGGCCCCGACUCCUACGGGAGGCAGCAGUGGGGAAUUUUCCGCAAUGGGCGAAAGCCUGACGGAGUGACGCCGCGUGUGGGACGAAGGCCUUCGGGUCGUAAACCACUGUCAGUGGGAAAGAAGGGUGUCGACGCUAAUACCGUCGGCAUCUGACGGUACCUGCAGAGGAAGCCCCGGCCAACUCUGUGCCAGCAGCCGCGGUAAGACAGAGGGGGCAAGCGUUGCUCGG
This 565-nucleotide ribosomal RNA is filed under the name uncultured bacterium. Its description in RNAcentral is "bacterial SSU rRNA". It matches the Rfam family "Bacterial small subunit ribosomal RNA", at positions 8 to 548 of the family's 1533-position model. The record is from RNAcentral.